CUUGUUCUCAUAAGAUAUCAAUUGAGGUUGGGGAGACUGAGAUUUCUCGUCCCAAAUGGAUGUAUUUCAACAUAGUGAAUAUCAUAGCACUUCACCACGGCAUGAAAAAAUCCCAUCCAUGAAAUUUGAAAUCCCUGAAAAGCUCAAAGCUGUUGAUUUUGUGUUCAAGUAACGGUCCAGAUCCUCCAUCACGAUCGGCGAUUUGUUUGAAGUUUGUAGCAUAAGGAAUUUCAGAUCUGAAUAAUGGGCGAUUUUGUUUAAUAUGAAUUCGUAUAUAUCGUAGGGAAGAAAUUUGAUUGUGACGACGAUAAAUGUUGAUUAACCGGUGCCGGAAGGUCAAUAUAGUAAAUAUCUUCUCUUCCAAACACGGCCUAAUCGGUGAUAACAGCGAUUGGAUUUUAGAAAAUUUUCCAGAUCUGCUUUAAUUUUGUUCUUAAGUUCUGUAUCCAUUACAACUGUUUCCAUAGUUGCCUUAUGAGUAAACGAAAUCGAUCUCCGCCACUUGUCUCUCUGAAAUUCGAUAGCUACGUUAAUGAAUAGUCUCACCUCGUUUCUUUUCUGCUCAAUUUCAUCGAACAAUAUGUGAAUAUGUUGCAACUAAGGAACUAGAAUUCUUCACUUGUCUUUCUUUCUGAUCUUCAGAAUCAGCGAUUGUGAGCUAGUUGUUUUCAUUCAUCCAGUACAGCCUGGAACCAAGAAAAUUGUCCAAAACAACUUGAUUCGAGUCAAGAACGAGAUUGGUUUUAGUUGAUUUGUUACUUGAAAAAAGAUUGGUGAAAUCGGAAUCUUCCAUGCCCAGUAAAGAAUUCAAGUAAAUCUAUACUUUUCUGUACAGUUGAAUUUGCUUGUUGAAUUUUGGCACCUUGUAAAACUGACACACAUAGCACUUCUCCUCCAAGAAUCUCCACCAUUUCUUCAUAACAUGGAUUAAAGGCCUUUUUGACAAAAAUCUGAAAACUAUAUAGCCAAUAAUGAUUGAGAACGCUAUGAUGGUUAGAUUUGCAAGAAAAUGUCAUGAGGGCAAUCAAAGACCAGACAAAACUUGGGGAAGGAAAUAGAAGAGAAGCAACAGGAAAGGAAGACACCAACAGGAGGGAGACCCAACGGUCAAUUGAUGAGAAACGUUGUCGUUUUAUUUUGAUUUCAUUUGUGUUGUAAUAGGCAAAACACGCUUCUUUCAAUUCAAGUUUUCUUUUCCAAUUCAGUUAUAACUAUCAGAAGAGAGGGAGAGCAGGGCACGUGAAAAUGAUC
RNAcentral lists this long non-coding RNA (1251 nucleotides) under Olea europaea subsp. europaea. Lineage: Eukaryota; Viridiplantae; Streptophyta; Magnoliopsida; Lamiales; Oleaceae. The record is from RNAcentral.